Molecule: long non-coding RNA, 601 nt
Organism: Bacillus rossius redtenbacheri
Lineage: Eukaryota; Metazoa; Arthropoda; Insecta; Phasmatodea; Bacillidae
Exons: 2
Source: RefSeq, a predicted model, not a curated record
UGAAAAAUCACUCACUAUAGGACAAAAAUUGAUCGCCGGACGCCUUAGGAGGAAAGUAUAAGACUUGGUGUCGUGCCGCUGGGCGCUCAGUUGCGAGACUGUUUUCAGAGGGGGAGGGUGUGUCGCUCGGCUCCCGAACAGCGGGAGAGCGACGCGCGGAAGAAAGUCCUAGCGGACGAAUAGCUAACUGCUUGUGGGCUGAAUGCAGGGAGUCAUGCUGGCUUGUUGUGCCAACCGCCUCCCCCCUCACCCAAUCAAGAAGUGACAGAAGCUCAGAACCCACUCCUCGCAGGACUCAUGGUUGCCUCGCCUGGUGGCCGCUGCCCGGUUCGGCACGUGACGUCAGCAGGAACCGCAUCUGUACAUUUACACGUGUUGCAUGACAUUCAGACAACCAACUGGAUGUGGGUGGCCACCGACUGGAUUUACCUACGACACUUAUUGGACGUGCCUGGUUAAUCGACUGUCAAGUAGAUCUGACGUGAAGACACAUGUCAAGGCAUGUACUCUAAGAAGAUUGCAGAGAUUGCAGAAAUCAAAUACAUUAGUUAUUUGUUUGUUUUUUCUUUUUAUAAAUUACUUAAUAAAUAUUUUAAUGUAA